AACGUAGGGGGCGAGCGUUGUCCGGAAUCACUGGACGUAAAGGGUGCGUAGGCGGUCGAGCAAGUCUGGAGUGAAAGUCCAUGGCUCAACCAUAGGAUGGCUUUGGAAACUGCUUGACUUGAGUGCUGGAGAGGCAAGGGGAAUUCCACGUGUAGCGGUGAAAUGCGUAGAGAUGUGGAGGAAUACCAGUGGCGAAGGCGCCUUGCUGGACAGUGACUGACGCUGAGGCACGAAAGCGUGGGGAGCAAACAGG
This 253-nucleotide ribosomal RNA is filed under the name uncultured bacterium. Its description in RNAcentral is "partial 16S ribosomal RNA". It matches the Rfam family "Bacterial small subunit ribosomal RNA", at positions 524 to 776 of the family's 1533-position model. The record is from RNAcentral.